RNAcentral lists this long non-coding RNA (4030 nucleotides) under Brassica napus (rape). RNAcentral describes it as "long non-coding RNA (BNAP_LNC001136)". The record is from RNAcentral. Lineage: Eukaryota; Viridiplantae; Streptophyta; Magnoliopsida; Brassicales; Brassicaceae.
AAAGAUAAUAUGAUGAAUACGUGGGGAAAAGUCAUUUUCCGUAAAAUCUGAGGCUAAUUUUAUCUAAAUCUUAUAACUUUGGGGUUAAUGUAAGAAUAUUUUUUUUUAUGAGAAACAGAGGAAAAAACAGAGCAAUGAACAGAGAGAGUUUUGAGAGACGAAACAGACCUCUCGUUCGUUGAACAUGGGGAUUUGGACGAGGACCACCGGGAAAUUGGAGCUUCCAAGCUCUUCAUCAUCGUGAAUGGGCUCGAACUUGUAGCGUUUCUCAGGUUUUUUCCAGAAGAGCUUGACGAGGACGAUGACGAUUCCCAUGUAAACCCUCUCACACAACAGCAUGAGAGACAUUAGCAGACAGAUGUAAACCGCUAGCUGAAGCAGAGGGACAAUCACUGGUCCCUUGACAAGCUCCCAGAUCAUGCCUAGCUGGCCUGUGAUCUCCAUCUUUACACCGUCGAAUGUCUCCGGCAACACAAACUUUGGUGAAACACCGUCCAUUUUUCUUCUCUCUCUCUAAAGUGAAACAAUGGCGGGUUUUUUCUCUCUGGAUUGGUACAAUGAGGUUUUUGGUCUGUUUUGUGUAAUGGGUUUUAGGAGAGAGGGGAGAUUUGGAUUGAAAAAUGGAGCCUUUUCUUUCUCUCUGCAGUUCUAGUGAGAGAGAAAAUGUAGGGAAGAGAGAGCAAGAGGAGAUUGAGGUUAUGGGAGAAAAGAAGAAGGAUAAACCAGGAAUAUAAAUGGUGAAAUUUUAUUCACUUUAUUUCCUUCUUUUUUAAGGAUAUUUUUCCUCUUUUUAAAUUGUUUUUAGGAAUUUAUUACAGACCGUAGUAAAUGUGAAAAUAACUAAACACAAGCCAAUAUUUUUGGUUAAAAAAAAAAAAACUAAACACAAGUGUCGGCCUUGAGGAUCUAUUUCAGUUAAAAAAUUGUCCCAAAAAAAAAAAAGAAGUUCUCUGGUAAAACAAGAACAGAGGAUUAGUUUUCUUGUUUCUGAUUUUUUGUGCCUGCCAAUGGAUGGAGAAAGUGAAGAGAUUGAUUUCUAAUGAUUUUCUUCGUAAAUAUUUUUCUUAACAAUGAUUAUCGGUUUGAUGAAGUUUUAACUUUUUUACCAUUUAUGGAAGUUUGGGUUUUUGGCAGCUCUUGUACAUUUUUUUUCCAAAAACUUUUAAUAAUUUACUACCAACUUUUAAGAAGUUGCUACUUCAUUUUCGUGUGUACAGGGCCGGCUUAGAUAGGGACCAGCGGUGUGACUGUUCCGGGGCCAAUUUGUUGUCUUUUUAUUUUUUAAUAGAUAAGGGUUUAAUUUUUUUAAAAAAUACAUAUAUUUUUAUAUUAAAAAUAAGAAAAGGGGCCUAAAAUUUUUUAUAUGAAAAUAUUUUUUUAUUUCCAAAGAUUUACUUUUAAAAAUAUUGAAAAAAUAUAUUUAUCAAAUUUUUUAAAGAAAAUAUAAUAGCUUGGAAAUUAAUUUUUUUUUUACCCGAGGAUCCAUGACACAAUUGAGCCGGUCCUGCGUAUGUAGUCAACUUUUUUUUUGUAGCCAACCCUUAUUAAUUCACUUAAGUCCUUUUUUUACUGGGUUUAUUCAAUUUAUUCUCUAGUAAUCUUUUUUUUGUAAAUACUUCUUGUAAUUUCAUUUUCUCAAAUAAAUCAUUUUUUAAUAGAUAUAACUGAUAUAUAUAUAUAUAUAUAGGAGUUUUAUUCUGUGAAAAUUUACAUGUUAUGUCUGCCGUCCAUAUAUAUAUUAGUUUUAUAUAUGAUCUCGAUCUCUCGAACCUCCAUCAUCACACCUACACAUCGAUUUGAAAUACACGCCAUACUUUGUUUUCGAACAACACACAAACCAUACUUCGCGAUGAAAACAAGAAAAAAAAAAGAAAGAGACAAUUGAUAUAUGUGUAAUUUAUGAAAAAACUAUACAUACACCCAUGCAACGCGGAAAGGGAGAGCGUGACUGUGCAGAUUAGAUCUAUUUGUGAAGAUUUCAUGUUUUGGCUGUUUCAACGGACUUUCACCUGAUUCUUGUUGAAAAUUUAGUUAGGCAAUUUAAGCUAAAACAAUUUUAUUAGGCAAAACAACAAUUCACGAUGAUGUCUCUUGAUUCUGGUCAGUUUUCCAAAAUAUUAAUAAUUAAUGAUUAUUAUUGAAAUUGUCAUUUCUGUGUUUGCAUGUUUAGUUAAUUAUUAGUCAGCAAACCGACUGUCAUAUGCUGUCCAAACCCAGGGCUGGCCCUGGGAAUUUGGAAGUCCAAGACCAUUUAGUAAAGAUUUUAAAAUUUUGGGGACCUAAAAUAUUUUAUUUUAAAUUGAGGACCUAUUUACAUAUAAAAAAUUUCAAAAAUUUUGGGGGUCCAAAGUGAAUGUUUCAUUGGGCUUGGCCCAGGGUCGGCCCUGUCCAAACCCGAACUUAAAUUCUACGAACAGUCCAGUCACCUUGAACUCUUCUAUAAAUUAUUCUCAUAUUAUUGAGAAAUCAAUAAAAAAAGGUCUGGAUAUUGAGAAGCCUCUUUCUGUAUGUUAUCUUAAACUUGUUAUAAAUUAGUAAAUUUGAUGCAUGUCAUGAAAUCGGCAAGGAUGGUAAUUCACAGCAACUGAUUCAUUAUCCAGUUCCUAUUAUGAGAAAGAGAGAUCACGUUUGACUUUCAGGAUUACAGUUGGAUUACUUGCCAAUUAUUAGUUUUUCACCAAUUCUGGAUUUUCAAGAUUGUGAAAUUUUGUUUUGACCAUAUACUCAUAUAUAUUGAUACUUCUCACCCUAAAGAGAUACGCCUGAUUCUGAGUUAUACUGUGCACUUAGAAUAACAAGGCAGAGAAACAAAAAGGGAAGGGGGGGGGAAACUUAAUGUUCACAGCACGUUAUCUCCACACAUAAAUCAAUGUGUAUCAUAAAGCAUCGGUUAACGACCAACUUCAAUGAGUUUUGCCACUAGAAUAUUAUCUACUUCGUAUUUUAUUUAGACACAGUUAAAGAUUCGCAUUAUUCUACUUCGCUGUAAAUUGGAGAUAGCUAGCUAACCUAGUGGAAUCGACAAAACUUCAAUGCUCUUGACUGGUGGUACCGUAUAAUAGGUUACAAUAAGAAAGUUCAUAACAAGUGGAAGUCCUCCACGGUCGCAUAACUUUAUUUUGAAUCUCCUAAGAACAUCUACGAUGGGAGUUAUUAAGGGAAUCCUUACCGGGUGUGGAGUCUACUUUCUUAGAGUUUGUGCAAAAAAAAAAUCCUUAAAAUCCUUUGAUAAUGAUUGAUCCUUAUACUGUUCUCGGAUCCCAUUGACUACGUGGCGGCCCGUGAAUAGUCAUCUUUUUUUUUUUUUUUUAAAAUCCAAAAUAUCCAAGAUUAAUCCGAAAUGCCCUUGUGCUAAGGACUCCAAUGAGUCUCACCAUUGUGGAUGGUCUAAUACCUUAACAGUAGGAUCUGUUGAGUCAUCAAGCACUUGGAUCACGAGACGAUCGGACGGCCAUGAGAGUCCAGACGCCGCUCCUAUUGAUAGCUUGUAAACCUGAACGGCAAAAAUCACGGGGGAAUUUUUUCACUUUUUAGUCCCUAUAAUUUAGCCAUUUACUACGAUUACGCCCUAAACUAUUGGUUUAUACAGAAAAACCCAAAAUAUCAUUAUAACAAGAAAGAUAAUAUGAUGAAUACGUGGGGAAAAGUCAUUUUCCGUAAAAUCUGAGGCUAAUUUUAUCUAAAUCUUAUAACUUUGGGGUUAAUGUAAGAAUAUUUUUUUUUAUGAGAAACAGAGGAAAAAACAGAGCAAUGAACAGAGAGAGUUUUGAGAGACGAAACAGACCUCUCGUUCGUUGAACAUGGGGAUUUGGACGAGGACCACCGGGAAAUUGGAGCUUCCAAGCUCUUCAUCAUCGUGAAUGGGCUCGAACUUGUAGCGUUUCUCAGGUUUUUUCCAGAAGAGCUUGACGAGGACGAUGACGAUUCCCAUGUAAACCCUCUCACACAACAGCAUGAGAGACAUUAGCAGACAGAUGUAAACCGCUAGCUGAAGCAGAGGGACAAUCACUGGUCCCUUGACAAGCUCCCA